GUGAGGAAUAUUGGUCAAUGGGCGCAAGCCUGAACCAGCCAUCCCGCGUGAAGGAAGAAUGCGCUAUGCGUUGUAAACUUCUUUUCCAGGGGAAUAAAAUUUCGUACGAGUACGGGACUGAAGGUACCUUGGGAAUAAGCAUCGGCUAACUCCGUGCCAGCAGCCGCGGUAAUACGGAGGAUGCGAGCGUUAUCCGGAUUUAUUGGGUUUAAAGGGUGCGUAGGCGGAAAAAUAAGUCAGUGGUGAAAACCUUCAGCUUAACUGGAGACUUGCCAUUGAUACUGUUAUUCUUGAGUAUAGUUAAGGUAGGCGGAAUGUGUAAUGUAGCGGUGAAAUGCUUAGAUAUUACACAGAACACCAAUUGCGAAGGCAGCUUACUGAGCUAUAACUGACGCUGAUGCACGAAAGCGUGGGGAGCGAACAGGAUUAGAAACCCGAGUAGUCC
This 445-nucleotide ribosomal RNA is filed under the name uncultured bacterium. RNAcentral describes it as "bacterial SSU rRNA". It matches the Rfam family "Bacterial small subunit ribosomal RNA", at positions 354 to 796 of the family's 1533-position model. The record is from RNAcentral.